UACGGGGGGAGCAAGCGUUGUUCGGAUUUACUGGGCGUAAAGGGCGCGUAGGCGGUCAGCACAAGUCAGUUGUGAAAUCUCCGAGCUUAACUCGGAAAGGUCAACUGAAACUGUGCGACUAGAGUGCAGAAGGGGCAACUGGAAUUCUUGGUGUAGCGGUGAAAUGCGUAGAUAUCAAGAGGAACACCUGCGGCGAAGGCGGGUUGCUGGGCUGACACUGACGCUGAAGCGCGAAAGCCAGGGGAGCGAACGGG
RNAcentral lists this ribosomal RNA (254 nucleotides) under uncultured bacterium. Its description in RNAcentral is "partial 16S ribosomal RNA". It matches the Rfam family "Bacterial small subunit ribosomal RNA", at positions 524 to 776 of the family's 1533-position model. The record is from RNAcentral.